AUUGAACGCUGGCGGCAGGCCUAACACAUGCAAGUCGAGCGGAUGAAGGGAGCUUGCUCCUGGAGUCAGAGGCGGACGGGGGAGUGAUGCCUAGGAAUCUGCCUCGUAGUGGGGGAUAACGUCCGGAAACGGGCGCUAAUACCGCAUACGUUCUGAGGGAGCAAGUGGGGGAUCUUCGGACCUCACGCUAUCAGAUGAGCCUAGGUCGGAUUAGCUAGUUGGUGGGGUAAAGGCCUACCAAGGCGACGAUCCGUAACUGGUCUGAGAGGAUGAUAAGUCGCCCUUGAACUGAGACACCGUCACGGCUCCUAAGGGACGCACCAGUCGGCAAUAUUGGGCAAUAGGCGAAAACCUGGUCCAGCCAGGCCGCGUGUGUGAAGAAGGUCUUCGGAGUGUAAAGCACGUUAAGUUGUGAGGAACGGCAGUAAGUUAAUACCUUGCUGUAUUGACGUUACCAACAGAAUAAGCACCGGCUAACUUCGUG
This 484-nucleotide ribosomal RNA is filed under the name uncultured bacterium. Its description in RNAcentral is "partial 16S ribosomal RNA". It matches the Rfam family "Bacterial small subunit ribosomal RNA", at positions 30 to 507 of the family's 1533-position model. The record is from RNAcentral.